Molecule: ribosomal RNA, 253 nt
Filed under: uncultured bacterium
Lineage: Bacteria
Description: partial 16S ribosomal RNA
Rfam family: Bacterial small subunit ribosomal RNA
Source: RNAcentral
GACGUAGGGGGCGAGCGUUGUCCGGAUUCAUUGGGCGUAAAGCGCGCGCAGGCGGCCCGGUAAGUCGGAUGUGAAAACCCGGGGCUCAACCCCGGGCCUGCAUUCGAUACUGUCGGGCUCGAGGCAGGUAGGGGAGAUCGGAAUUCCCGGUGUAGCGGUGAAAUGCGCAGAUAUCGGGAGGAACACCGGUGGCGAAGGCGGAUCUCUGGGCCUGUCCUGACGCUCAGGCGCGAAAGCUGGGGGAGCGAACAGG